Molecule: ribosomal RNA, 253 nt
Filed under: uncultured bacterium
Lineage: Bacteria
Description: partial 16S ribosomal RNA
Rfam family: Bacterial small subunit ribosomal RNA
Source: RNAcentral
UACGUAGGGACCGAGCGUUGUCCGGAUUCAUUGGGCGUAAAGAGCUCGUAGGCGGCCACUCAAGUCGAAUGUGAAACCUCGAGGCUUAACCUCGAGCCUGCAUUCGAUACUGGGCGGCUAGAGUCUGGUAGGGGGAUCUGGAAUUCCUGGUGUAGCGGUGGAAUGCGCGGAUAUCAGGAGGAACACCGGUGGCGAAGGCGGGAUCCUGGGCCAGUACUGACGCUGAGGAGCGAAAGCGUGGGGAGCAAACAGG